GCCUGAUUAGCUCAGCUGGUUAGAGGGUCGUACUAAUAUCUUGAUCUCAAGAUAUCGAGUCAUGCGAAGGUCAACAGUUCAAUCCUGUUAUUGGGCA
RNAcentral lists this transfer RNA (97 nucleotides) under Cercophora newfieldiana. Its description in RNAcentral is "tRNA-Ile". The record is from RNAcentral. Lineage: Eukaryota; Fungi; Ascomycota; Sordariomycetes; Sordariales; Lasiosphaeriaceae.